Molecule: ribosomal RNA, 703 nt
Filed under: Nocardioides sp.
Lineage: Bacteria; Bacillati; Actinomycetota; Actinomycetes; Propionibacteriales; Nocardioidaceae
Description: bacterial SSU rRNA
Rfam family: Bacterial small subunit ribosomal RNA
Source: RNAcentral
UCGAGCGGUAAGGCUCCUUCGGGAGUACACGAGCGGCGAACGGGUGAGUAACACGUGAGUAAUCUGCCCCUCACUUCGGGAUAAGCCUCGGAAACGAGGUCUAAUACCGGAUACGACCACUUCCUGCAUGGGAUGGUGGUGGAAAGUUUUUUCGGUGGGGGAUGUGCUCGCGGCCUAUCAGCUUGUUGGUGGGGUAAUGGCCUACCAAGGCUUCGACGGGUAGCCGGCCUGAGAGGGUGACCGGCCACACUGGGACUGAGACACGGCCCAGACUCCUACGGGAGGCAGCAGUGGGGAAUAUUGGACAAUGGGCGGAAGCCUGAUCCAGCAACGCCGCGUGAGGGAUGACGGCCUUCGGGUUGUAAACCUCUUUCAGCGGGGACGAAGCGCAAGUGACGGUACCCGCAGAAGAAGCACCGGCCAACUACGUGCCAGCAGCCGCGGUAAUACGUAGGGUGCGAGCGUUGUCCGGAAUUAUUGGGCGUAAAGGGCUCGUAGGCGGUUUGUCGCGUCGGGAGUGAAAACACCGGGCUUAACUCGGUGCUUGCUUUCGAUACGGGCAGACUAGAGGUAUUCAGGGGAGAACGGAAUUCCUGGUGUAGCGGUGAAAUGCGCAGAUAUCAGGAGGAACACCGGUGGCGAAGGCGGUUCUCUGGGAAUAUCCUGACGCUGAGGAGCGAAAGUGUGGGGAGCGAACAGGAUU